Molecule: long non-coding RNA, 601 nt
Filed under: Homo sapiens (human)
Lineage: Eukaryota; Metazoa; Chordata; Mammalia; Primates; Hominidae
Description: HSALNT0387360
Source: RNAcentral
AUUCUACUGGUUACGAGUGAGUCCUUGAUCCACUGAGAUCCAAGAGGAUGAGACAAAGUCCCCAUAUCUCAAUGAAAGAUCGUCAAGGUCACACUGAAGAAGACCAUGUGGGAUGGGAGAGAGACAUAGUGGUCACAUUUGAGAAAGGCCAUCUGACAGAUGGGAGAAGCUGAAAGGGCUGCAGACAGCAGAAGCCUCCCCUGCACCUGCAAAUAGACCAGUGCAGGCAUUGAACAUCUGGGGCAAGACUAGCGUCUCCCAGCAGAACGUAUGACCUGAAACUGGUCCCGAGGAAACAUCAGAUGGACCACGUUGAGCAUCACACUGCAGAAUGUAGGGCUGCAUUCUUCCAAACUGUUGGGACGAUGAAAGUCAGGGAAAGACUGAGGAAAUGCUCCAAACUGGGGCAGACUGCAAAGAUGUGACAAUUAAAUGCAAUGUGUAACUCGGGGUUUCUGCACUUUAGCUCUUUCAAGAUUUUUGACUGGAUAAUUCUUGGGGUCUGUCUUGCACACUGCACGGUGUCUGGCAUCAUCUCUGGUGUCUAAGCCCUAGAUGUCAAUACCAAUUCCCACUUGUGUGAUCAAAUGUCUCCAGACAU